CCGAGCAUAGCUCAAAUGGUAGAGCGUUUGACUGCAGUGGAAAUUAGUGCUGUCUUCAGUACGACUUCGGAAAUCAAAUGGCCACCGGUCCGAUUCAGGUUGCUCGGA
This is a non-coding RNA of Aphanomyces astaci, 108 nucleotides long. The record is from Rfam. Lineage: Eukaryota; Oomycota; Saprolegniomycetes; Saprolegniales; Verrucalvaceae.